Molecule: transfer RNA, 51 nt
Filed under: Gordionus wolterstorffii
Lineage: Eukaryota; Metazoa; Nematomorpha; Gordioida; Chordodea; Parachordodidae
Description: tRNA-His
Source: RNAcentral
GUGAGGUUUAAUUUUGUUUGUGGUACAAAAUGUAGGAAUUCCUGUCUCACA